UCCGUAGGUGAACCUGCGGAAGGAUCAUUACCAAUAUGAAAGCGGGAUGGGGAGCCACGGCAUCAGGCGCUCCGGCGUGUAAUGCCGCCCCAUCUGGCUGACUAUUCACCCAUGUCUUUUGCGUACCACUUGUUUCCUUGGUGGGCUUGCCCACCGAUAGGACAGUAUUAAACCAUUUGCAAUUGCAGUCAGCGUCAGAAAAAACUUAAUAGUUACAACUUUCAACAACGGAUCUCUUGGUUCUGGCAUCGAUGAAGAACGCAGCGAAAUGCGAUAAGUAGUGUGAAUUGCAGAAUUCAGUGAAUCAUCGAAUCUUUGAACGCACAUUGCGCCCCUUGGUAUUCCAUGGGGCAUGCCUGUUCGAGCGUCAUUUGUACCCUCAAGCUUUGCUUGGUGUUGGGUGUUUGUCUUCCGCUGGGAGACUCGCCUUAAAACAAUUGGCAGCCGGCAUAUUGGUAUCGGAGCGCAGCACAAGUCGCGCUUCUUUCCAUGAAUGUCAGCGUCCAUCAAGACCAUUUUUCACUCUUGACCUCGGAUCAGGUAGGGAUACCCGCUGAACUUAAGCAUAUCA
RNAcentral lists this ribosomal RNA (571 nucleotides) under uncultured Neocamarosporium. Its description in RNAcentral is "eukaryotic LSU rRNA". The stretch from base 217 to 370 matches the Rfam family "5.8S ribosomal RNA". The record is from RNAcentral. Lineage: Eukaryota; Fungi; Ascomycota; Dothideomycetes; Pleosporales; Pleosporaceae.